This 253-nucleotide ribosomal RNA is filed under the name uncultured bacterium. Its description in RNAcentral is "partial 16S ribosomal RNA". It matches the Rfam family "Bacterial small subunit ribosomal RNA", at positions 524 to 776 of the family's 1533-position model. The record is from RNAcentral.
GACAGAGGGUGCAAGCGUUGUUCGGAAUUACUGGGCGUAAAGCGCGUGUAGGCGGCUAUGUAAGUCGGGCGUGAAAUCCCACGGCUCAACCGUGGAAGUGCACUCGAAACUGCGUAGCUAGAGUCCUGGAGAGGAAGGUGGAAUGCUUGGUGUAGAGGUGAAAUUCGUAGAUAUCAAGCGGAACACCGGUGGCGAAGGCGGCCUUCUGGACAGUGACUGACGCUGAGACGCGAAAGCGUGGGGAGCAAACAGG